CCCACUUUGUUAUGAUCUCUUUCAUUUCAUAGAGAAAAUCUACCUGACCCUCUACAUCAUUUGAUCCGUUGACAUUUGUCAGUAACCAUUUGUCAAGUCUUUCCUCAUUAGCGAUGUCCAUUAUUGUGCUGAUGGAGUAUGCUCCCUCAUGGAACACUGAACCAUUUACCCUGAGGACUUCCACAUUAUAAUGAUCCCUUGAGCUGAAUCCACUACAUUUAUGCACCCCCA
This 231-nucleotide long non-coding RNA is filed under the name Elaeis guineensis (African oil palm). RNAcentral's name for it is "long non-coding RNA (EGUI_LNC002350)". The record is from RNAcentral. Lineage: Eukaryota; Viridiplantae; Streptophyta; Magnoliopsida; Arecales; Arecaceae.